CCUGUAGGCGGUAGGUUAUGUCGGGUGUGAAAGCCCGGGGCUCAGCUCCGGAAGUGCAUCCGAAACUGGCCCACUGGAGCGCGGUAGAGGAGGGUGGAAUUCCUGGUGUAGCGGUGAAAUGCGUAGAUAUCAGGAGGAACACCGGCGGCGAAGGCGGCCCUCUGGACCGUUGCUGACGCUGAGACGCGAAAGCGUGGGGAGCAAACAGGAUUAGAUACCCUGGUAGUCCACGCUGUAAACGAUGGGUACUAGGUGUUCGGGGUGUUGACCCCCUGAGUGCCGGCGCUAACGCAUUAAGUACCCCGCCUGGGGACUACGGCCGCAAGGUUAAA
This 332-nucleotide ribosomal RNA is filed under the name uncultured bacterium. RNAcentral's name for it is "bacterial SSU rRNA". It matches the Rfam family "Bacterial small subunit ribosomal RNA", at positions 568 to 898 of the family's 1533-position model. The record is from RNAcentral.